Molecule: ribosomal RNA, 207 nt
Filed under: uncultured bacterium
Lineage: Bacteria
Description: partial 16S ribosomal RNA
Rfam family: Bacterial small subunit ribosomal RNA
Source: RNAcentral
GGUGUCGGCGGCACAGAAAGUCAGAAGUGAAAGUCCUGGGCUCAACCCAGGAAGUGCUUUUGAAACUUCUAAGCUUGAGUAUGGGAGAGGGAAGUAGAAUUCCUGGUGUAGUGGUGAAAUACGUAGAUAUCAGGAGGAAUACCGGAGGCGAAGGCGGCUUCCUGGCCCAAUACUGACGCUCAGACCCGAAAGCGUGGGUAGCAAACA